AUGGCAGAUACGGCCGUCCCGCCCCUCCCACCGCUGUUAACUGCAUUUACGGUGGCGUCGUAGGCGUCUAAAGUUAUUUGCUGCAGAAGAUGGUCUCAUAUUCCAUGUUUGCUUAAACUCUGGCAGCCUCGAGACGAACGAUGGGAAUUUAAUAAGCACCUCUUGUCAGAGGGGGAAGAAAAGUUUUCCUACUCCUGACAGCCGACAUAUGGACGUCGCAGGUGAUGAUCUGUUACGUGUAGAGGAUAAGCGGAACAGGCGGCCCCUGACUGGCGCCAGCAUCCACGCACAUGCAGCAGCAGUUACAUUACCGUGCAGACGUGUUAUUGCACACCUGGGCAAAAACAAU
This is a long non-coding RNA of Schistocerca cancellata (South American locust), 349 nucleotides long. RefSeq lists it as uncharacterized. NCBI's taxonomy places the organism in Eukaryota, Metazoa, Arthropoda, Insecta, Orthoptera, Acrididae. The record is from RefSeq and is a predicted model, not a curated record. The transcript has 3 exons.